GUAAAGUUGAUACCAAGAGCGGUUUAAGAAAACAAGUGCUCAAAUGGAGUUUUGGAGCCAGAUUACCUGCUACUUUGCCAACAAUGAAGACACCAUCCCUGGUAGUAGGUGAAGCACAGAGAGCCCUGCUACAACUGUCCAGUUGUCAAAGGUUUUACUGGUGAUGAUAAUUUUCUGGGUUACAGAAAUUAUUAAUAACACCCUGGCAAGAACUCCAGGAGACGGUGAAU
RNAcentral lists this long non-coding RNA (230 nucleotides) under Homo sapiens (human). Its description in RNAcentral is "HSALNT0057564". The record is from RNAcentral. Lineage: Eukaryota; Metazoa; Chordata; Mammalia; Primates; Hominidae.